Molecule: ribosomal RNA, 253 nt
Filed under: uncultured bacterium
Lineage: Bacteria
Description: partial 16S ribosomal RNA
Rfam family: Bacterial small subunit ribosomal RNA
Source: RNAcentral
UACGUAGGGUGCAGGCGUUAAUCGGAAUUACUGGGCGUAAAGCGUGCGCAGGCGGUUUGCUAAGACAGGUGUGAAAUCCCCGGGCUUAACCUGGGAACUGCGCUUGUAACUGGCAAGCUUGAGUGUGGCCGAGGGGGGUGGAAUUCCACGUGUAGCAGUGAAAUGCGUAGAGAUGUGGAGGAACACCGAUGGCGAAGGCAGCCCCCUGGGCUAACACUGACGCUCAUGCACGAAAGCGUGGGGAGCAAACAGG